Lingula anatina is the source of this 390-nucleotide long non-coding RNA. The record is from RefSeq and is a predicted model, not a curated record. Lineage: Eukaryota; Metazoa; Brachiopoda; Lingulata; Lingulida; Lingulidae.
CAGAUGCAUCAUUAUCAGCGGAUAAGAAGAACCACCCUCACUGAGUGAAAUGAGCAGUGAGGGCAGUAAAAAAAUGGCACCAGAUGGCAGUACAAACAAGAGAGACCCAAAAGAACGUGGGAGUAUCAGUGCACCUUGGGCAAAACCGUUGGCAUGGGUUAAGGCAGAAAUCAGCAAUCUGAAAAAAGGGCAAUGUCAACUGAUAGGGCAGAUCCAACGUCUCUCCGAAGAAGUGAAAUCCUCACGAAACUCCCAAGUAUUGCCACACACACCUCCACCUGCCUUGCCACCAGUGGUUGUAGAGAAUUUGGAAAAAGAGUUAAAGAAAACCCAAGAUACGUUGCAGGCUUUGAAUCAGCGUCAGGCAAAUCUUACUGCUUCAUACGAGUC